GAUGAACGCUGGCGGCGUGCUUAACACAUGCAAGUCGAACGGAAAGGCCCAAGCUUGCUUGGGUACUCGAGUGGCGAACGGGUGAGUAACACGUGGGUGAUCUGCCCUGCACUUCGGGAUAAGCCUGGGAAACUGGGUCUAGUACCGGAUAGGACCACUUCUUGGAUGUUGUGGUGGAAAGUUUUUUCGGUGUGGGAUGAGCUCGCGGCCUAUCAGCUUGUUGGUGGGGUAAUGGCCUACCAAGGCGUCGACGGGUAGCCGGCCUGAGAGGGUGUACGGCCACAUUGGGACUGAGAUACGGCCCAGACUCCUACGGGAGGCAGCAGUGGGGAAUAUUGCACAAUGGGCGCAAGCCUGAUGCAGCGACGCCGCGUGGGGGAUGACGGCCUUCGGGUUGUAAACUCCUUUCGCUAGGGACGAAGCGUUUUUGUGACGGUACCUGGAGAAGAAGCACCGGCUAACUACGUG
Molecule: ribosomal RNA, 468 nt
Filed under: uncultured bacterium
Lineage: Bacteria
Description: partial 16S ribosomal RNA
Rfam family: Bacterial small subunit ribosomal RNA
Source: RNAcentral